Molecule: transfer RNA, 77 nt
Filed under: Agarivorans albus
Lineage: Bacteria; Pseudomonadati; Pseudomonadota; Gammaproteobacteria; Alteromonadales; Alteromonadaceae
Also listed under: 19 other names
Description: tRNA-Arg
Rfam family: tRNA
About the family: Transfer RNA (tRNA) molecules are approximately 80 nucleotides in length.
Source: RNAcentral
GCGCCCUUAGCUCAUCUGGAUAGAGCAACGGCCUUCUAAGCCGUAGGUAGUAGGUUCGAGUCCUACAGGGUGCGCCA